GUGUGUGUGUGUGUGUGUGUGUCUGUGUGUGUGUGUGUGUGUGUGUGUGUGUGUGUGUGUCUGAGGAGGUCGACCAUGUGGCCGGUCCCUCACUAGCCUGGGGGUUUUAGAUAUCUCCCUGCUAGGCGGCCCCAGCACACCCUGGUGUCUGAGGAGGUCGACCUUCUGGCCGGCCCUUCCCAAGCAUGGGGCUGAAGAGGUUUCCCUGCUGGCCGGCCCCAGUCCAGCCGGGGGGCUGAUGAGGUCGACGUGCUGGCCGGCCCCCGUCCAGCCAAGGAGCUGAUGAGGUCGACCUGUCGGCUGGACCCUCCCAAGCCUGGGGGCUGUAGAUGGCUCCCUGCCGGCAGCCCCAGCCCUGUGGGAGUCUGAGGAGUUCGACCUGCUGCCCGACACCAGUCCAGCCUAUAGGCUGAGGAGGUCGACCUGCUGGCGGGACCCUGAGCAGACUGUGGGCUGAGAGGUGUAUGUGCCGGCCAGCCCCAGCUGAGCCUGGGGGCUGAGGAAGUCGAGCAGCUGGCAUGUCCCAGCCUAUCCUUCGGGCUGAGAAUUUCCUCAUGCAUUCAAUUAUUUGCUUCGGGGCUCUGCAAGUCCACCUUUCUGCCGGCCACAGCCCAGCCGAGGGGCUUAGGCCGUCGACUUGCUGGCCGGCUCCAGCUGUCCGUAGACUCUGGAUAUGGACCUGCUGCCCGGCCCCCUCCCAGCCUAGGUGCUAAUGAGGUCGACCUGCUGGCCGGCCUCACCCCAGCCUGCAGUGUGCGGAUGUCGACCUGCUAGUCGGCCCCUCCCCAGCCUGUGUGCUGGGGAGGUCGACCUGCUGGGAGGCCCCAGCCCAGCCUCGAAUCUAAGAAGGUUGACCUGCUGGCCGGCCCCUCCCGAACCUGGGGGCUGAGGAGGUUGACCUUCUGGCCAGGCCCAACCCACUCUGUGGUCUGAGGAGGUCGACCAGGUGGCCGGCCCCUCCCUAGCCUGGGGGCUUUAGAUAUCUCCCUGCUAGACUUCUCCUGUCUCAACCACUGCUCCCCUCAGCAGUGUGUUUCAUUCAGUUUGCCUGUUCUGCUCCCCACUCUGUGUCUGGUCAAUCCUCUUAGCCCCCUCACCUCUAGCCUACAUCCCAGUUCUUCUGUGCAUAAAUAAAUAUAUCUUUAAAAAAUAAAUAAAAAUAAAAUAAAGUUAUUGAAUGCAACUUACUCAUUUUGCAUUGGUCCGAUUCACUUUAACCACUGAAUCUGAAGCAGAAUUGACAUUCACUGAACACAUACCUUACCAUAACUCUGCUUUUAUUGCUGAAUGUCAGAUGAACUGGUCAAGUUAGCAACAAUAUAAUUAUGCUUAUUUCCUUGCUAAUGUAUAUCUACUCUUUUCAAUUUUUUAUUUAAUGUUUUUGAAUUAACAUUGUUUUACAACUUUAUAUAGUUUUCGGAUCAGAUGACAGCACUAGAGUUGAAUAUCUGUAUUAUGUACUACAUCACAAUCUCCACCAAAUUUGCUUUCCAUCCUCCACCUUGACCCUUCAUUUUAAAAAAUCAUUUAUUUAUUAAGAACUGGGGUGCAGGCCAGAGGUACUGUAUCCUGGUGGGUGAGAGGAUUCACCAGAGACGGAGUGGGAAAUAGAACAGGCAGACUGACUACUUUUUAAAGAAAGAUUGAACAAGUUGAUAAGGCUAGCAGGCUGACACCAAUGGAAAGGUUCACCUCCUAGAUGGGAUCCUGACCCAGAAACCACUCUAUAAAAUGACUAGGGAUCUAGUCAGAGAAGCAGUGGGCAUUUUUGGGCAGUUGAUUGUUGGAAAUAUUCAAGGACAGUAGCAUAUGGCUUGAGACAUGUUUCCAAAACUGAGAGCUUGGAGACAGAGACUGGUCUGUGCAGGAAUAUAAGUUCUAAAACGCUGAAGGCAAUGAAAAUCAAGACUGAAGUUGGGUCUAUUCACCAAACUUCACAGUUUUUCAGUGGUAAAAUAUGUAUGAAAAGUGUAAGGACAAGAAUGUGCUAACCUGGGAUGCCCUGAGAGGUCAGAGAUGAAACAAAACUGUUUUGCCAAAAGAACAAAUGAUAGACAAAAGUAACAGAUAUGAUUGGAAAUGUUUUGGGCUGAAUUGUAUCCCUCUUAAAAUUCAUAUGUUAAAACCCUGUCCCCAGGGUGACUGUAAUUGGUGGUAAGAACUUUGCAGAGGUAAGUAAGUUAUUAAAAGUCAUAGAGUAUGGCCAAAUCCAGUAGGACUGGUGUCACUAUUGAAAAUGAAUAAACGCCAAGUAUUUACCCAAAGAAAGGACAUACCCUGUGAGGACACAGUGGUAAGGCAAACCAUCUCCAAGCCAAGGAGAAAGGUUCUGUCAGAGACCAACACUAACAGUAUUUUAAUCUGAACUUCCAGCCACCAGAGCUGAGAAAACAAAUAUCUGUUAUUUAAGCACCCAGUGUGAGUUACUUUGUCAUGGUCACUGGAACAGACAAAUACAGGAAUAUACAAUUUAAAGUUUCCAACUUUAAAGAAGAAUGAUCCAUGUUUUUGGCUAAUUCCUUAAGUAGAAUGUCUUGGUAAAUAAAUAAAGGAGUAUGUUUUGAGCCAUUUCAUAUAGCAGUAAAAAGAAAUAAUAGAUGCAGGGCCUCUCCCUCAUGGUGCAAGGGGUUAAGUCGCAACACCAUGGAGGUAUCCGCAGCCAGUGCAGCACAAGUUCAAUCCCCACCUAGGGAGGUGACCCACAUGGCACAGCAGACCUCUCCUGUCUUGCCUGUUACUUCCCAGUACUGUAUUUCAGUCAGCCUGCCUGUUCUGCUUCCCACUCUGACUGGUGAAUCCUCUCACCUCCUGCACCUCUUGCCUGCACCCCAGCUAUUAUAUGCAUAAAUAAAUAGAUCUAAGAAAAAUAACAUAUUGGGGCAAAUGAGAUUUUUAAAAUAUUUGAGCAAAGACAUUUUUCUUCUCCUUUAUUUUUCCCUGAUAUUAACUAUAUCUCAAACUUUUCACAAAGGUUUCAGUAGAACACCCCAAGGUGCCAUGAGUUUGUCAGCCACUAAUCCAAAGUCUAGUUGAAGCUUUGAUACAAUCUGGGAUAUCAUGGCAAAAUCACUUACAUUUUGGUGUCUCAAUUUCCACAUUUUAAGAAAAUUUGGAUUAGACUAGCACUACUAAUGUGUGAAUGAGGUUUACUGCAAUCACAAGAUCAAAAAUCCGUGCAGAAACAUAGACUGUGCAAGCUUGAAUAGACCUCUCUGUCACAGAAUUUCUUGGAGCAUUUUAAAGUCAAUGUGCUCUACAAAGCCACAAGGAAAGGAUACCACACACAAUAUCCCUCACGUGUUGUUUUGGCACACAGCACUGGAGACAGGUUACAUUAGGAAGAGGCUACUAUUCGCUAUAAUUCCCCCUGGAUCCCAAAUGGUCAGAUCCCUUUGCUCAUAAUGUAUUAUGGUCACAUCCAGAGCCUCCUAGUUCUUUGACUGUUUAUUCACUAAGAAAGAGUAAUAAUGAAGUGAAGGGUGUUUUAGGAGGUCUACAUCCCAGAAAAAAAUCCUUAAGAAACCACAACUAUGCUCUAUACUCCAGGAAACAAGAAUCUUUAAAGGGAUAAUUAGUGGAGGAUUUGAAACUCCACACACUCUCUGCACUUUCCAUUUUUAAGGAAGUUUCCUUAAAAUGUACCUGUUUUCCUAUUUCAGUCUGUUUCAGCAUUUUUUAAAGAUUUAUUUAUUUAUGAAUACAAGAGCUGGGGCACAGGCCAGAGAUGCGGGGGUGGUGGUGGUGAAAGGAUUCCCCAGAGACAGUGUGGGGAACAGAACAGGCAGACUGACUGAAAUACACUGCUGAGGGGAGCAGUGGGCUGGACAGGAGAGGUCUGCUGCGCCAUGUGGGUAGCCCCCUGGCUGGCCAAGGGAUCGAACUUAUGCUGCAGAAGCUGCCGAUUGCUUCAUAGUGUGGUGCUUAACCCCAUGUGCCACCAGGGAGGCCCUGUUUUAACAUUCUUUUGUUAUAAAGACAUAUGUGAUAUUUGGGUUUUGCUGUUUGUGUCCCAUAGCAUAGAAUAAUAUAUUCAUGCAAACAAAGAAAUGGACUUGAAAAUUAAUUGGAGGAAAAUGCAGGAGAUAAAUGGACAAGUAGUUAUUUAUAAAUGGGAAUUCAGCAAAAUUAUUAGGAGACAAGUGUGUCAUGCUGACCAUUGCCAAUCAUCUUGACCAAGGUUCUUUUGGAGGAAUAAGUAAUUGCUUGCUUUUGGCAUCAUUCUCACCAUGGACAUAUGUUUUGCAUUGUCAAAUGGUUCCUUAGGAUCAAGAUGAUAUAGUAUAAUGCAGCUAGGUUCAUUUAAUUUGCAUUAAACAAUGCACAAUGUACUAGUUUUUCUGUACUUUUUUUCUUGACCUUAUAGAAAUGGCCUCAGAUAGACUCAUUGACCUUCAAUCAUAAAUCAGCCCUUUACUGGUAAAGAGGUGAAGUGGAUUAACAAUGGAUUUACUUGUAAAUUGAGAAGAGAUAAAUCUUUGUUCCCUCCAGGGUAGUGCUGUAUUUAUAGAUUGGAAGGCAGAACCACGUUUCAAAAAGCACUUUACAGGAAGGUCACAACCUCAGGAGAUUUUUUAAGCGUGAUAUGAAACCACUGCCAUCCAUGGAGGGCCUGGAAAGAUCUUAGAAUAUUGGUAGGUGGCAUUUUUAAUAAUGAAUGGUACGUACUUAACAAAACUUUGUCUUGGUCAGCUAUAAGACAAGGGGUUUUCUGAAAAGUUAAUGUAAUCACCGAAACCGAAAAGUUUAUGUCAUCACCUGUAUUGUCUAAAUUGUCUAAACAUUUUUCUUUUUCAGUCAUAUGUCCUUGGGCAGCUUCUAGGAGCAAGGAAGGCAAACAGAGUGUAUACUGAUGGGAGAAGAGGUACAGCGCCUUUAAUAUCCCAGGUCCAACUUUGAAUCAACAAGUGCUCACAUUCUCGUGGUUGCCUUCCUCAACACAAGAGACAUCCUAAGUUUUCUAAUUACCAAACAAGCGAACACACACAAAAACAACCUCCCCCAAACCCAGCAGCUGAAACAGAGCUAAGAGGCGGGGACAUGAUGUUUUCAACAUAGACCAACACUGCUCGCUCCCUUGUCAUACCGUGCAUAUUAAAUCAGAUGACCGUCAUAGUUGUACAGUGCCUCGAUCACCACAAAGGUCGCUGCAGAAGAGUGUCAGCGGAGCAGACACAGCCCCCUCUGCUCCAGUUGAAACUUUGACAUAAUUGACAUCAUUUUUCUCCGUUCCCACUCAUUCUACUUUGUACCGCUGUGCUUCAGCCAGUCUUCCACCGGUCUUCAUUGAUUGCCUCUUGGGAAGACUUAGUUGGGAUAUACCCAUCAGGUUAUGGUUGUGACAAAUACCAGUGUUCGGUUAUUUCAGGCAUAUAAGUAUCAGGCGUCCCUCAGGUCGUAAAAUAGCUCUUCCUACUCACAAUGUGAGUUCCCCCACCUGUCACAGUGAGCAGGAUCAUUACUAGUCAAACAAUUAUGGCAACUAGAUCAUCAUCAAUAGAUAAAAUCUUUUAUUUGCCUAUUAGCAUGCCAGCAUAAAUGCACAAAAUAUGUAGCCCUUUGUAUCUUUAAUUUUAGUGGUAUUCUCAUUGUAAUGUCUUGUAAAAUCAUUUUCCCACCCCCACCCCAUGGAGGCAAGAUUUUUAUUUCAGUGAAAUUAACUUUUACAGAUGAGAAGUGUAAAUUACAUUAAGUGGUCAGUAUGAAUGAUGGUGACUAGAGCUCAUCGUACUUCCAUUCCUUAACUCUCAGACCCAUCUCGUCUAGCUACUGGGGAUACAGCACCAUAAAUAGUCCAAUAGUUUAGUUUUAUAUACUGUGCUCAGCUCCUCAGGGUACUGUCUCCAGCCAGCCCCUUUGCUGGUUUAAUUGAUCAUUCUGUAUUCUUAUUAUUCUGGACUCUCUUGAUGCUCCUGCAUAUGUCAGAGCAAUGAUUGCUAUAUGCCUAUUAGUCCAAAUUAUUGUUUUUCGUCUAAGGCAAUGCAAUGUGAAUUCCCAUGUUGUUAACCAAGCUUCUGUAAUUUUCAGACGGUGGUACUAGAAGACACUUACAAGCUAAGAAAUAUCUGGAGGAUAUGGAGAGAUAAAUCACUGCACCUUCCAAGAUGUAAGCCUUCUGAUAAAAUCACCUGCCACUAAAUGACUCCCUGGUUUUCAAGAUAUAAGUUACUUCAUCAUAUACACAUAUCUUUCAUCCAAGCUUACUUAUCCUCAGUAUUUCGAUCUUAUUUUUUUCUAGGAUUCUGAACAACCACACAAACUAUUCUUUAAUGCCCAGAAAUGUAUGGCUUCUUCUACUUAAUCCAUUUCUUCUAUACAACGUGAAGAAAACAAGUGCAAAGGAUAGACUAAGGUCAUGGACUACAGGUGCUUUGCUGGUAGGUUAACUAUGGCGACCACACUUGAGGGGAGAAAUCCUACACUAACAAAGAACUAACAAGGAUGUACAACAAUGUACUUUAUUUUUAAAAUAUAGAAAUACAGAGAAAAAAUAAGUGCACAAUUGCAGAUGUGUUCAUUGAGAGAUUGCAGAGCAGCAGCAAUGGCGCCACAUUGUGGCAGCGGGUCAUUUUUCUGCUAGCAAAGUUAUCUCUCAGAAUUGAGUUCUUUUCAUUCAUUGGUUUUGUGUAGCCCCUCAUGAGGCCCAUAGAUGUGAAUUAAGAGAUGAGAGUCAGUACAACAAGGAAAGUCAACAUCUGUUCGUGUACCUUACUUGUGCCUUAUAGAUUUGAUUUUACUUGAUUCCAAAUAUCUCACUUUUAUCACACCAUCAAAGAUUGCUGUGUCUGUCCAAUCUAUUGACUCAAUAGAUAAUCAUGUUCAGCUUAUGAUGAGAAUCCAUUCAGAAAGGAGAAUUAUAGAGUCAUAAAUUUUAUAUUGCAUAGUCAUAAACUAAAAUAAAUGUAGGUAAAUAAAGGAAAAAGAAA
This is a long non-coding RNA of Talpa occidentalis (Iberian mole), 6923 nucleotides long. RefSeq lists it as uncharacterized. NCBI's taxonomy places the organism in Eukaryota, Metazoa, Chordata, Mammalia, Eulipotyphla, Talpidae. The record is from RefSeq and is a predicted model, not a curated record. The transcript has 3 exons.